GCCGCGCUGCGCCUCCUCCCGCGGCUCCGCCCCGCCGCCGUCCGGCCCCGCACGUGUCGCCCCGGGAGUCCCCGCCGAGGCCCUGAGCCCUGGCGGGGGCCGCCGGACACAAAGGAGCGCCGAGCAGGGACGCCGCGGAGUGUAAAGAACGAAUCGGACGCCGGAGACCCGGAGCUGCGGGCCGCCAAUCCGCCUGCAGCAAGUUUGCUCAACUCGGAAGGUGUAACCCGAGCCGCCGGCGGGGGAGGGGCGGCCAGGCUGGGGUGCUGCCGGCGGGUCCCCACCCGAACCCCCUCUCGCCUGUACCUACAGCGCUUUACCCUAGCUGCCAGCUCGUCAUUUGUCAGCGUGGGCUACAGCUGUUUUGCAAAAUGGUACUAGUGAAAAAAAUAAUAAUAAAGGCAACAUUCAUGCGGCUGCAGAAAAGGUCCUUUGUUCACACACCAAUUAAUUUGCGGAUGUCGCUUCAUAGAGGUUAUUUACUGUUGCAAGCUAUAUUUGGUGUGCUUUAGCCAAAACUGCGGAAUUGGAAGUGCUGGGAUUUUUUUUUACUGUCAUUUUUUUUUUAAAAAGGAAGUUAUGCCAGUUUACUUGGACAUAUUUUUUCGAGUACACAUCACAGCUACAUUGUUUAAUAAUGGCUCACAGACCAACUGAAAAAUAAGGAUCAUGUUAAUGCACGGAUACUUUAGAUUCUUUCAUGGUGACACGCAGAAGUACAGCUUGUGGAUGGCCUUAAAGGAUCUCAAACUACCUCCGUAUAAAUCAUCAUGAGGGACAACUAAUACUCGGACAGGCCAGACCUAUUUUGAGUGUGUGAGACAGGAGGUGUUUGAAAGGCCUCCAAGAAGGAGAUUCUUAUAGAUCUUCUGACCGAGCAGCCCAUAUGACUGGCCAAGUCAGUACCUGAGACCAAAUUAAGGUUAUGUUCCUGCUUCAUGCCACCAGAGGAAUCCUUCUCAGUCAAGAGAGAAAGAUGACCUCCCCCUUCUCCUUUUCUUUUUAUGUCUUGGCAAUGUCAUUCACAUUCAUGCUCACAUGGUACUGACUUUAGAAGCAUGAAGAUCAGGAGUGAAGGAGUCAUUGGUUCUUCCCCCACUGUUUCAAGGCCAGGCAGCAUACACCAGGGGCAUCCCUGCAUAAAGGUCCUCACAGGCCAAGAGGCCCUGAUAGGUCAAGAGGCCCUGACAGGCCAUUGUGUGAAGUUGUGAAGGUGAAGCCUGAUUGGCAGUGGAGCCCCCAAGAAGAUGUUGAAGAUGCUAGAACCAUGAGACAUCUACCAAGGAAAGCUGCCUACAGAGAGUAGUACCAACCUGAGAGAGAUGCAUGUUGCAUGCAGCAAAAAGGGCAUGGGGGCUAAGCCAUCUAAGCCCUUUGGAAGUAAGGUCCCAGAAGUUGGACAUGGAGCUACUGGAUUUAGUAUUUUCCCUGCUGGUUUUCAGUUUGAUUUGGUCUGAUACUUCCUCACUAUGCCUGCAUUCCUCCUUUUGGAAUGGGAAUGUGUAUUUGGUUCCAUUGUAUGUUGAAAGUAUGUAAUUUGUCUUUUGAUUUUACAGGGGCUUAUAGUUAAGAUAUUGCCUUGGGUCUCAGGAGAGACUUUGGACUCUGGACUUUUGACUAGUAUUGAGACUGGUAAACACUAU
Long non-coding RNA from Nannospalax galili (Upper Galilee mountains blind mole rat), 1643 nucleotides. RefSeq lists it as uncharacterized. Lineage: Eukaryota; Metazoa; Chordata; Mammalia; Rodentia; Spalacidae. The record is from RefSeq and is a predicted model, not a curated record. The transcript is spliced from 3 exons.